UAUAAUGAAAUCCCAACAUUUCUGAACUAGAAGCGUUUUCUCUCUAAGGGAUGGGAUUACUGGGUUGGCAAUUUCUCUUAAUCUGAAAAAAAAAAAAUCCCCCCCCCCAUCCUCUUUCAAUCUUCUCCUUUCCCGAGAGAGACGCACGUACUCUCUCACCAUUUUAUCUGAGUGGAAAGUUGAAAGGGAGCAACACACCGGCUGCACCCAUCCAGCGCUCCUUGGGGUGGAAUAGCAAAGUUCUAGGGCAGAGCCUUCCUGCCCGGAGCCGGCGAUGCAGCCGCUCUCCGCUACCUGCUCAGCUUCACGCCGCAUCUGAAGGUCCGCCCGCCGCGGAACAGUUGCGUCUCCAUCUGGCUGCCAACCCACCCAAGCUUUCUUCUCUUCCACCACCACCACCUUCCCUCCUUCCCCCCUCCUCCCCCUCCUUUCCGUCUUCCCUCUCCACCCCCGCCCCCAAUCUCCUCCUCUUUUUCUCACUACAAGCGGUUGCUGAUGCUGAAGCCGAGCGUCACUUCGGCUCCCACGGCAGACAUGGCGACAUUGACAGUGGUCCAGCCGCUCACUCUGGACAGAGAUGUUGCCAGAGCAAUUGAAUUACUGGAAAAACUACAGGAAUCUGGAGAAGUACCAGUGCACAAGCUACAAUCCCUCAAAAAAGUGCUUCAGAGUGAGUUUUGUACUGCUAUUCGAGAGGUGUAUCAAUAUAUGCAUGAAACGAUAACUGUUAAUGGCUGUCCUGAAUUCCGAGCCAGGGCCACAGCAAAGGCAACAGUUGCAGCUUUUGCAGCUAGUGAAGGCCACUCCCACCCUCGGGUAGUCGAACUGCCAAAGACUGAUGAAGGCCUCGGUUUUAACGUGAUGGGAGGAAAGGAGCAAAAUUCCCCCAUUUAUAUCUCUCGCAUCAUUCCUGGAGGGGUGGCCGAAAGACACGGAGGCCUCAAAAGGGGAGACCAGCUGCUAUCAGUGAACGGAGUGAGCGUGGAAGGGGAGCACCAUGAGAAAGCGGUGGAACUCCUCAAGGCUGCCAAAGACAGCGUCAAGCUGGUUGUCCGAUACACCCCCAAAGUCCUGGAAGAAAUGGAGGCCCGCUUCGAAAAGCUCCGGACGGCCCGGCGUCGACAGCAGCAGCAGCUGCUAAUUCAGCAGCAGCAACAGCAGCAGCAGCAACAAACACAGCAGAACCACAUGUCGUAGAGGAUACAGGAAAGUUCUAUUUAAAUGAACGUGAAAUUUAUAUUUAUGCCUGCCAAGACGGCCCUCGCUACGCACACGCUCGUGGCCCCUUGAGAUGAAACGGUGGUGGCCAUUUCAAGUACGAAUGAAGUACAACCGAGUCACGUCAUCUAUGGAUUUUAUGGUCCUUAAAGAGAAGCUACCUGAUCAAAGAUCGGAUAGUCACGAAUUCGAAACCGUGCUUCAGAAUCCCAGCACAUAGUAAAAGGAAAAGGCCACAUUGAUAAUUAUAGCUGUGAAGAAUCUGUGAACACGUGAUGUAUAAAUUCUUUACCAAGGCGACUCGACACCUUCUUUCUCUGGGGCUGAAUCCCACUGCUCCCGUGCUCUUUACACGCACAGACCUUCCAUUCACUGCAGUGGGAAUUCUCAGUGUGUAAAGGGAGAGGUUUUCCAGUCUGCAGGCUGAACUAGUACAAGAAGAAUCAAGUCCAUGACUUUCCAGAUAAAUCACCAGGCCACGAUGACGUGAGUCUUUGGUCUAUAGCUUUUCCAGAGAUUAACAAAUCCCUCAUUAGGCUAUAGUUCAAACUGCAUCAGUUCAAGGUUGUUACGACUUAAAAGAAACCUAAGCAUUGCCCGCAUUGCCCGGUACCUUGACCUCGUCCACAUCCAUAUUGCUGAACUGUCUGAAUUAGAAUUCCAGUUAAUUGCAAAUUCAACCUUUAUUCCCCUCUUGAAAAUGGCAAGUUAUACUAUUUAUACUCUGUUCGGGUUCUAGAAGCAGUUGGCUUUUUAUUUUGUUUCCAUGAAUUUAAUAUGGAGUGGGCCAGUUUUCACUCAACUUUUGGUUUGCUAGAGGCAAGGAUAGAGAACUCUAGUAGGGUAUUUUUUUUUAAUUUAAGUAUUGCUUGUAUCUAUGAUUAUGAAUUCUAACAGAAUAUAAUGUAUAUUUAUUCCACAAAAUAUAUAUUAUCAGAGUGUAUUUGCUACAAACUGAGGUCUUUUCUUACCAAAUGUUAUGAAUCUGGUAAGAGAACACUAACAAAGGACCUAACUUUUGGUUAAGUUUUAUACUUUGUGAUUCAUAAACUCUGGAGAAAUCUAAAUUCUUUCUACCUACACCAAUAUGUCGUUAUAGAAAUUUAUUUACUAUUUUAAAGCUUAGGGCUUUACAAAGUUCAAUUACGAUAUGUGUUCAAAUAUAUACAAAUAUAUAUGUCACAGAAAGUUUAAAUUAGUUUCCCCAAAGAUAAACUGGAUAUUUUUGGCAAUCUAAGACCAGAAGUAUUAUUCCUUUUAAAAUUAGGCAGAUGUAAACCAGGAUAUAAUAUUGUGAAUGAAGAGAAGCUGUUCCUUCUAGAGGGAAAAGAUGCCUAAUUCAUUACACAUACUCAUGUGGGAAAAUAGACAAAGAGAUAUCUUUCAGAAAGUAUCACUUGCUGGAAAAUGACCUGUUGAGAGCCCCCUAUACAGAUCAUCACUUUGACUUAUGAUAACUCUAAGUGCAUAAGUCUGACUUUACUCAUUGGGAUGAAUAGGAAGCAAUAAUCAUUUGGGCAUUUAAAUAACUGAGGCACAAAAAUGUACCUGAAGAAAGAAUAAAUGCUCAGUUGAAACAUUCUAGAUAAGGCAUUAAAACUGAGGCAAAUAUUUGAAUAUUCCCUUUUCUCAAAUGCAGAGAUUGAUUCCCCAGCAUAAAUAAAGUUUACAUUUCAGAUAGUCCCACAAAUUAGAAAUUGAUGAAGUUCAGUUCAAGAGCUAUUUCUUGAAAACAAAAUAAAACAAGUCAGAACUACCCAGCACAUUUUAUUUUGCCCUGUCAGGGGGCGUUAUUGUCAAUACCAAGUUCUGCCUACUCUUCACAGUACAUCAUCCAACAGAGAACAAAGAGGGAAGAAACUAGGAGGUACACCAAUUCCAACAACCAUCCUGAAAACAUAUCAUUUUUUUUACUGGAGAAAACUGGGCGGGGGCGGGGGGUGGGCAAAGGUGUGGACCCUGAAUGUUAUGUAAGAUAGGUUUACAGAAGAGCUAAGCAUGACUAAAGGGAGUGAAUGGAGACUCCGUGUAUUACUCAGUUUGAAAUAGUUCUCAUUUUUAUAAGAAAAAUUUAAUAAAACAUAUAUUUUAGUUAUCAUUUAACAAAGAAAUAUUAAAGCUAUUCAGGCGAUGCCACAGAUUCUCAUAAAGGGAAAUCAUUGCACCCUUGUAAUGAGAAAAUGGUCAUUUCAACACAUUUCAAUGCCUUGUAUAAAUUUGGAGCUUACGGUAUGUUUUCAUUUAGCCAUAACUGUAUGGUUGAUAUGAAAUUAUAUGUUUUCACAUCGAUAUAAAUAUUGUCACGGUGUUAUGGAAGCAGCUAUCAAAUGAGCAGAUACCUUACAUUUGUGUUUUCUAGAUAUCUUUGUAUGUUAUGCUUCAUUUGCAUAAUGUUAAAUGCUAAUAAAUGUAUGCCAAGUCCUUUGUCAAAGUGACGGGGCAAUCCAUCACACCUAAGGCAUCCAAAGACCGAUUACAGGUCACAGUGGUUACAUACAAAUGACCAAAUGGCCAGGUUUUUGUUUUUGUUUUUUUGUUGUUUUAUUGUUUUUUUUUUUCAGUAAAAUCUGGUUAUUGAAAUAUAACCCCCCCACUAAAGUUUUAUCAACAGUUUCUGUCCCUAAGACUUCGAGAUGCCCUUUUGUGGUUAAGUUUCACCCAAACCAGAAGGAAAGGGGAAAACAUUACCAUGUUCUUUAUCAUUAAUGAUCACAGUAGAGCCACUAACGUGUCCAAAAUCAUAUUAGAGACAUAUCAGUUUGCUCUUCCGUGAAUGUCACUCUUGAAUAUCAUAAAGAAAUUAGAUAUUCAAAGUUAGGGGGGAAGCUGGUAUGACUGUUCCUCGGUGAUCCUGGUGAAUUUGAGUUCUUUCCCUUAGGUUGGUGGCCAGAUUUUGCUAAACUCUUUCCUGCUGUGAUUUUGAAGGCCAGUACACAGAGUAUAGUUUAGUGAAAGAAUACCUGAACCUAUCCAUUUGGGGCAUUUACAUUUUGAUUCUGUUGCCAUUUUAAAUAGAAGAUCCGAGGGGAGAUAAUGAGCUUAAAUUACAAUUGACUUUGGAAAGAGUAACAGACUUUUGGGCUCCCUCAAUCAUGUAAUCAAUAGGGAAUUCUCUCCUUCUGUGAACUACCACUAUCUUUUAAGACAAUGCUAAAAUCUAAAUGUAAAAUCUAGCUUUCAGGGGCUUUUUAAGAAUUCAAGGCUGUCUCUGAAGAACUUGGCUAGAGAUGGAUUACAUCAAUUUACAAAUGCAGUUCUCAACCGUGACAAAUCAAACUGAUGGGAUCUCAGUUCGUUUUACUCAGCUGUGCCUUUAGGACUCCAAGACGUUGGGAUAUUUUGUCUACAUUAUCUUAAACAUCUAUAGAUAUUUGUGAAUGUGUGAAUAAUGCCUGAAUGUCUCCUCUUUUAGCUAGUUUGUAUUUCUUAUACAGACAUUUAAUAAGACCAGCUUUCGAUACCGUUGUGAAGUAGAAAUCAAUGCGCCGCGGAAGAUUUAGGGAAGCCAGCUUUAGGCAGUAUCUCCCCAAACACGGGGCCGUCCUACCCAGCGCGGCCCACUCUGGAUCAUAAACUCCACGAGGGAAAGGUCUGCGAGGGCUUUGUGGGUCUGCCAGAUCUCUGACAUCCGGUGUAGAGCCUGGCACACAAUAGGCGCUCAGUUGGUAUUUGUUGAAUGAAUGAACGAUUGGAUGUAGGUGGAUAGGCAAAUAAAUCAGUUUUGCCUUCAGAUAAUCUGAAAAAUUUCACCAGCGUACAGUAAUUGGCACUGUAAUUUCUGAAUUUCAUAGAACCAGAAUUGACUCUCUUCAUAAAUAAAUACUUUUCAGAUAGAUGAAUUUGGACUCAAUUACUUUAAAAGCUUCAAGGAUUUGAGGCCAUUUAGAUAAGGGAUAGUGUUUGAGGAUUAAGAAUUUUUAACAAUGAAGAAAGCUCAACAUUUCUAGUUCUUUAUGAAAGCUCCCUGAGUCAUUUUGCAAAGGCGAUUAAAACAUAGAACUCCAUUUAUGAGUUUUAUAAAAUAUUCUGUUUCAAUUUUUAAAAAAGGAAGAAAAGUCAUCACAUCAAGCACAGGAUUAAUAUCACCUUUAAUAUUUACUGAUAACUUCUCUCUAAGGAGUUCAUAGUAAUUGGGGACACAUCUCUGAAUCUUCUGUUUUCAAAAGAUCACUCUUUUCCUAUUUGAUUUCUAGAAUGUACCUGAGCUAAAGAUGGAUCACAUAGCUACUAAGCCUUUUCCAUGUAUUUAUUCACUUGACAGAUAUUUACUGUGCACCGAGUACAUGCUAGGUUCUAGAAAUACAGUGGCAAACAAGACAGACAUAGUGCUCUCCCAGGGCUUACUGUGAGGAACUCCUCAACACUUACUCUGGCGAGAGCUACAGUUAACUGUCCAUCAGCUCCCUCUUCACAGCCGACAGAAGAAACAAAAUCCCUCACUCGUGGAAAUCAUGAAAGACCCCCUGCUCAGAUUUUAUGUGAGCUUGCUUUUCUAAACGCAUCACUCAGAAAUAAGUUUAUCCACACACCAUAGUUCGAUCGCAGCAAGGUAGGUGAGUAGUCAUUCAUUCAUAACACUUACUUAGCUCUUACCAGGUUCUACUGUGCUUGGUACUUUCCAUAGACUGUAAUAUUGAAUCCCUUCAACAAUGUAGUAGGUUCCGUUUUAUAGACAAGAAAACUGAAGCACAGAUAUGUGACUUGUACAGGUCACACAGUGAGAAGAUGAAAUGGGGAUCUGAAACCAUGCAGGGUAACACAAGAGUUCAUGUGUCUAACCAUUAUCUGUGGUUUGGCGACACCAUUACAUUAAACAAAUGAGUCAUUAAAUGAGUCGCUGUAUAUAAAAGUACUUUGAAGUUGUAAAGUAGUAUACAGAAGGAUAACAGUGAAGUGUUAAGGCCAACAGUACAUCAGUGGCAGAAGCAGACUGAGAAUUCAGUCUUACAUUACAGCUUACUCGUGAAGAACACUUCAAGCCAGGGACAUGGAUAAAGUACAGAUUCCGAAAAACUUUGACAUGUGAUAAAUAUGUCAAAGACUUUUCAGAAUUACGUGUUAGCCACUGUGUCUAUUUGGUGCUACAAGAAACAAACAAAAUCCCUUGCUGUAAGGGCUUCUAAUAAAUACACAGUGUGAAGCUCAACCAAGGAUAUUUCACAUUUCCAGGGACAGAUCGGGCAAUAGUACUAUUUUCUCACCAUUGCAUGUGAUUGCGUCUUUCCAAUUGUUUUCUUUAUUUUUCUGAAAGAGCUGCAAAAUUGUGCAGUGGUUCAACCUGACCAAAGUGGUAUUAUGCUGCUGGGAAGUAAAAGUAUUAGACACCAGACUGGAAGUAUUGUCUUCAUUAUCAAAUGAUUUUUAAGUUCAUUUAAAACAUGGAUUAGGGGCAUCCGGGUGGCCCAGUCGAUUAAGCGUCUGACUCUUGGUUUCUGCUCAGGUCAUGAUCUCUGUGCCCACUGUGGAGUCUGCUUGAGAUUCUCCCCCUCUCUCCCUCUC
Molecule: RNA transcript, 6717 nt
Organism: Ailuropoda melanoleuca (giant panda)
Lineage: Eukaryota; Metazoa; Chordata; Mammalia; Carnivora; Ursidae
Gene: LIN7A
Gene name: lin-7 cell polarity scaffold A
Exons: 7
Source: RefSeq, a predicted model, not a curated record